GUCAGACCAUAGAUUCAUAUAGAAGACAGCGCGCUAGCGUAUCUAGUCUAUGUAUAUCUAUGGUCGGCACGUCUGGUAGCAUCUCUGGCUGCUGUUGAUCUUGUUUUUGGAGUAAAACACGGUGGAAGCUGAAUUAGUGAGGAUGACUCCUGCUCCUGUCAUCUCUAAGCUCCUCACACAUCUUUACCUGCACAUGAGGAAAAUCACUCCUGUAGAAUGCAGAUGUUCAGAGGGAGAUGAUGCCACAUCUGGUCCAGCUGAUGGAAGGUCUUGAAGUUCUCUGACUGGCCUCAACUGAAGAUGGUCGUCUCACUGGAUUUAAGGUUCAGAUGCUCAGUAACAAACUCCACCAAUGUACCAACAGGGAAGCUUUAGGUUUAUUAAAUGUUGCUAUGAAGGUUUCGCUGUUUUUCUUUGUGAAUGCAAUGUGCUCCAACUGAAACUUGAAUUAGAACUUAGAAGUAAAUCCUUCCAUCUGAAAAGAUCUAGUUGCAUUAAUAACCUCAUAACAUUCACAUUUUUAUUCCAGUUUUGGUUGGAAAUAGAAUCUCUGUAUUGAUUCAGGUAAAAACUGAACUUCACAGCAUGUUGAAGCAAAACAACCAGAUGAAAACUGUGAUGGUGUUGGAUUGUCAGACCAUAAUGUUGCAGCUCAAAGCAGCUUUUCUAUCUCAGUUCAUUCUGACAUUCAGCUAUGAAUCAACACAGCAGAUGGUGAUCCAUGCUGUGGAAGUCUCACAUCUCCUGAUUUAAUGGAGCUGCUUUGUACUUUUUACACUGUUUAUUCACCAACACUUUAUUUAAUAAAAGUCCCAUCUAGUUUUUAUGAGGAAUGUGAUGUUUUAAUUUCUCUGUGAAUAACUGCAGUCUAAUGUAACAGCUGGAGUUGUAACAUCUGUCCUGAUAUUGAUCAUGAAGUAUUGAUCAGAAUACUUAUGGUCAGCAGUCAUCCCUGAAGUUUUACAUUAAAAUCUUUACUUGUGUUGUGAACUUUGGUAAGAAUCAGAAACUUUAGUGUUGCCAUGGAUACAUGAGUGUUAAAUUCUGUCCAUGUUUCCAUUUUGGGAAAUGCAGUCCAGUUCCAGAAUGUGGAGGAAUUUAGUCUCACAAUCACAGACAACAAAUAUUAUCUGAAAGUCGGGUUAUUGUUGUUUAUCAGCACAAUACAAAAAGAUUAAUGUUAGAAAUAUUCCAGUUAAGACUCUAGAAUAUCAUGAUUUAUGUAAAUUUACCUCAAUAAUAUGAAUGUUCAGGUUAAGAUUGUGCAGUGAUAUUUAUUAUGUAAGUUUAGCUGAUUAAAGUUUAUGACUCUGCACUAAAAUAUUAUUUAAAUUGACAUCAUUAUUAUAAUAUUUAGGGUCAGACCCUACAGUAUUGAGAUUAAGAAAUCAAAUAUUCUAUAAAAUGUAAAUACACUGAACUCAUUUGGAUAUAUUUAAGUGAGACUCUACAAUAUUAUUUGACACAAAUCUAUCUAAAUCAAAAUUUUAAUAAUUUUCACGCCAAACAUUUACUGGACUGAUUUAAAUAUUAAAAUCACUCCUUUCUAAUCCUCUGCUGUACGUUCAAACCUGAGGCCUUAAAUAGAAACACACAAGUAUCUGAUUGAAGGAACUUCUGCAGAGUCCUGGUUCCAGAACAUGAUGAUAGAAUUAUAGACAAACUUUAACAAAAGCUGCCUGAGAGUUUACAGGUUUUUAUGUUGGAUUUCUUCAGUAAUUUAAUGAGAGUUAUCAGCAAAAAUCAAGUGUUCAUUUGAUGAACUUCAUUUCCUAAAACAUCCAGAAUUGGAGCUCAUAUCUUUGGCAGCUGUAAAGUUUCUGCUCCUUCAAAGUUCACAACACAAUGAAUGAAUUCCUAAAACACUCUCAAUGCUGGAGAGCGUUUGUGAUGCUGAAGCAGUGAUCAGUUUUUCUGUUUCUUCUCUGGAGAUGCACAAUGAGGGACGUCUGCAGAGACUGAGAAAGAGUCUCACCACAUCCUGACAUGAGAAAAAGACUUUAUUGAAGACUACAAUGAGAAAAACUAUCAGACAGCAGACGGCUGCAUUCAAGGUGAGCUCUGAACAUUUGAUCUGGAACAGGAAUUCAAUAACGGCAGCAUGAGCUUCAUUUCAGUCUGUAGCUGCUGAAUUCAUGGAUGAAUCAUCUGGCACUAGAGAGGAAGACCAUCAAACAUCCACGUCAGCUGAUGGAGGUCCAAGAGUCUCACCAAACAACCAACCUACAGAGUGAAGACCUCAAAUCUGAUUGGACGGCCUCCUAUUCAGCCACAUGUGUGAACAAAUGCCUCUAAGCUGAUUUGUUUUCUAAAAUAAAUCUAGUUUGAGUCCUAA
Long non-coding RNA from Amphiprion ocellaris (clown anemonefish), 2335 nucleotides. RefSeq lists it as uncharacterized. NCBI's taxonomy places the organism in Eukaryota, Metazoa, Chordata, Actinopteri, Pomacentridae. The transcript has 3 exons. The record is from RefSeq and is a predicted model, not a curated record.